Molecule: long non-coding RNA, 1055 nt
Organism: Poecile atricapillus (Black-capped chickadee)
Lineage: Eukaryota; Metazoa; Chordata; Aves; Passeriformes; Paridae
Exons: 3
Source: RefSeq, a predicted model, not a curated record
GGCGGAGCUCGGUGCUCUCCCAGCGCCCCGGGCGGGCGGAGCGGAGCCCUCAGCGGGCCCGGGCCCGGCCGGCCUGCACUGAGCCCCUGUUCCCAGUGCUGGCCAGAGUCACAUCGCGUGUUACUGCCUUUUGACAACGAGCAUGUAGAAACCCAAUCAACAUACAGGUUUGGUGGUGAUGGGACAUCAGAGGAACACUCAGAUGCAUAGAAACAACUGCCAGCAAGAGCAGAAAUGUAAAAAAUAAAUGUGAUGAUGACAGUCUGCCUAGUUCACUAAUUCUGGAGCACACUUCCUGAGGAGAUCUGGCACUCCUGGCUUAAGCUUUGUAUUUGUAUUUGUGUUUGUGUUAGUAUUUGUAUUUGUAUUUGUAUUUGUAUUUUUAUUUGUAUUUGUAUUUGUAUUUGUAAUGCCUGCUUUGGGGUGUGCUUACACUGCUACACAUUUCCUGCUUCCACACAAUGCUAUCUGAGAAACUUGCUACAGCCUUGUACUUAAAAUAGGAAAGAAAUGUCAGGAGUUUGGAUAGAAGAGACUCAAUAGGAGGAAAUAAAGCUCCUAUUUUUAUCCUCUUCUAAAAGACAUCAUAAUGUUUAUAGUUUCUGGCUGAAAUUGUAUAGCUUAGUCUAUUUCUAUAUAUUAAUUUCUUCUUUCAAAAGUCCUAGUAGAAUCUCUGUGCCUUUUUUCAACCACAGCAUAUAUAUGUGUGUAUAUUUACACACUUGUGCAAUUAGAGGAUGUGUUUUUUCUGCAAAAUUUGUUAUGGAAGUUGUAGAGCUGAGAUGAAAUGGCAUAUAAAGUUGUAAAUUUGGCAUGUUGCGACUGGUCUAAAAGUUCUGCUGGGCUUGAGCAUUCUCUUUUAUAAAAAUGUGAUGUGUGUUAAUGAUUUCUUUUAGCUGGUGAUGUGUCUUGCUCAUAAAAUCACAUUCAUGUGGGCCUGAAGCUGUGUAACUUAGCUGUUACAAAAUACACAAACAAGAUGGUGUUUAGGAGGUGGUAAUGUUUUUUAGAGGAUGUACUGCUAUUUCACUUCAGAGGUGCUGAGUCUUCAUCUA